GACCCCUUCUGUAGCCAUUUUUGUACAAAUUUUUCAAACAUCAAUUGUAUCAAAACUACAGAUAUAAUGAAUAAUAGAGACAGGCCAUUUUGUACAUAUACUAGGGGGAAACUUGAUGGAAUGCAUUAUAAUUUACUGUUUCAUUGCCUUUAAAAGAAAAAGAGUACUUUGUGGCAAAUAAACCAAGAUUUUUAUAGAAAAUCCGCAGCCUUUAAUACAGAGAUUUUUGUUAUAAAAUUUGAAACAUAGAUUACUCACUUGCUUUUCUAUGAUGUGCAAGUGUUUAUUUUUUACAAAAAGUUCUAACCAAUCUGUAAAUUCCAAAAUACCUCGUGCUGAGUCACUAAAGUCGAACACACCUUAAAAGGUGUACUUGAUUUGGUCCAUAUUUUUAUUUGUUUUAACCAAUAACUACAUUAAUAAACUUGUUUUAAGGAAAUCGAUGCUAGCACUGCAUGCAAUUAUCAUAUACCUAUCAGUCAUCAAAUUGCCAAAUAUCACAGUACAAGGAUAAAGGCUGUGGAUUUUCUAUAAAAUUUCCAUAUGUUUAGCAUUGAAUCAACAGAAGGUUACAUAAUCCUUAAAGGGGCACUAGCUGUCAAAUUCAUGGUCACCGAUUUGAAUCAAAUUCUCAUAUUUGAUUUAUAACAAUGUAAAACAUUUAUCCAAACUAUCAAAAGUCUAAAAUAAACAGUUUACAGAGCAUAGGGUAGAUAAUAUACAGGUUCAUUUCGUG
This 736-nucleotide long non-coding RNA is filed under the name Mytilus galloprovincialis (Mediterranean mussel). The record is from RNAcentral. Lineage: Eukaryota; Metazoa; Mollusca; Bivalvia; Mytilida; Mytilidae.